GACGAACGCUGGCGGCGUGCCUAAUACAUGCAAGUCGAACGCACGAAGUUGAAGAGCUUGCUCCUUAACCAAGUGAGUGGCGGACGGGUGAGUAACACGUGGGUAACCUGCCCAUUAGAGGGGGAUAACAUUCGGAAACGGAUGCUAAUACCGCAUAGUUUCAGGAAUCGCAUGAUUCUUGAAGGAAAGGUGGCUUCGGCUACCACUAAUGGAUGGACCCGCGGCGUAUUAGCUAGUUGGUGAGGUAAUGGCUCACCAAGGCAAUGAUACGUAGCCGACCUGAGAGGGUGAUCGGCCACACUGGGACUGAGACACGGCCCAGACUCCUACGGGAGGCAGCAGUAGGGAAUCUUCCGCAAUGGACGAAAGUCUGACGGAGCAACGCCGCGUGAGUGAAGAAGGUUUUCGGAUCGUAAAACUCUGUUGUUAAAGAAGAACAAGGAUGAGAGUAACUGCUUAUCCCCUGACGGUAUUUAACCAGAAAGCCACGGCUAACUACGUGCCAGCAGCCGCGGUAAUACGUAGGUGGCAAGCGUUGUCCGGAUUUAUUGGGCGUAAAGCGAGCGCAGGCGGUUCUUUAAGUCUGAUGUGAAAGCCCCCGGCUCAACCGGGGAGGGUCAUUGGAAACUGGAGAACUUGAGUGCAGAAGAGGAGAGUGGAAUUCCACGUGUAGCGGUGAAAUGCGUAGAUAUGUGGAGGAACACCAGUGGCGAAGGCGACUCUCUGGUCUGUAACUGACGCUGAGGCUCGAAAGCGUGGGGAGCAAACAGG
RNAcentral lists this ribosomal RNA (771 nucleotides) under uncultured Vagococcus sp. RNAcentral describes it as "bacterial SSU rRNA". It matches the Rfam family "Bacterial small subunit ribosomal RNA", at positions 28 to 776 of the family's 1533-position model. Lineage: Bacteria; Bacillati; Bacillota; Bacilli; Lactobacillales; Enterococcaceae. The record is from RNAcentral.